UUUCCGCUUCCCGCCUCUAACAAGAUGGCGAAGGCCCUGUGCUGAGGGGGCGGAGUGUGGCUGCCGGAAACCCGGCCGCUACCUUCGGGGAAGCUUCGGGCGAAGGCCCGGGAGCAGCGGACUGAGUCUGGUGCGAUGCUGUUCCCGGGAAGCGCAGUCAGCUACCGCUGAGGAAGGUGGAGCGAGGAGUUGCCUUUCCAGCGCCCCCUAUGUACGCCUCCCUGAGCUCGGGGCCGGUCGCCGCGUUGCCCGCCUCCGUACCACCCGUGACUCUCGGGGCCCCGAGCUCCGGCGGCGGCCGGAGUCGAGUCCCGGGGGAAGGGAGGCGCCCGGGUGGCACCCGAGCUUGCGGCCG
RNAcentral lists this long non-coding RNA (355 nucleotides) under Rattus norvegicus (Norway rat). RNAcentral describes it as "long non-coding RNA NONRATT013311". The record is from RNAcentral. Lineage: Eukaryota; Metazoa; Chordata; Mammalia; Rodentia; Muridae.